CGGGGCGUAGCGCAGUCUGGUAGCGCACUUGCAUGGGGUGCAAGGGGUCGCGAGUUCGAAUCCCGCCGCCCCGACCA
This 77-nucleotide transfer RNA is filed under the name Azoarcus sp. RNAcentral's name for it is "tRNA-Pro". It matches the Rfam family "tRNA". From Rfam's summary of the family: Transfer RNA (tRNA) molecules are approximately 80 nucleotides in length. Their secondary structure includes four short double-helical elements and three loops (D, anti-codon, and T loops). Further hydrogen bonds mediate the characteristic L-shaped molecular structure. tRNAs have two regions of fundamental functional importance: the anti-codon, which is responsible for specific mRNA codon recognition, and the 3' end, to which the tRNAs corresponding amino acid is attached (by aminoacyl-tRNA synthetases). tRNAs cope with the degeneracy of the genetic code in two manners: having more than one tRNA (with a specific anti-codon) for a particular amino acid; and 'wobble' base-pairing, i.e. permitting non-standard base-pairing at the 3rd anti-codon position. Lineage: Bacteria; Pseudomonadati; Pseudomonadota; Betaproteobacteria; Rhodocyclales; Zoogloeaceae. The record is from RNAcentral.